CACGUAUCCAACCUGCCGCUUACUCGGGGAUAGCCUUUCGAAAGAAAGAUUAAUACCCGAUGGUAUAAAGAGUUCGCAUGUUCUCUUUAUUAAAGAAUUUCGGUAAGCGAUGGGGAUGCGUUCCACUAGAUAGUUGGCGGGGUAACGGCCCACCAAGUCUACGAUGGAUAGGGGUUCUGAGAGGAAGGUCCCCCACAUUGGAACUGAGACACGGUCCAAACUCCUACGGGAGGCAGCAGUGAGGAAUAUUGGUCAAUGGACGAGAGUCUGAACCAGCCAAGUAGCCGUGAAGGAUGACUGCCCUAUGGGUUGUAAACUUCUUUUAUAAGGGAAUAAAGUGAGGGACGUGUCCCUUUUUGUAUGUACCUUAUGAAUAAGGAUCGGCUAACUCCGUGCCAGCCGCAGC
RNAcentral lists this ribosomal RNA (406 nucleotides) under uncultured bacterium. RNAcentral describes it as "bacterial SSU rRNA". It matches the Rfam family "Bacterial small subunit ribosomal RNA", at positions 114 to 518 of the family's 1533-position model. The record is from RNAcentral.